This 492-nucleotide ribosomal RNA is filed under the name uncultured bacterium. RNAcentral describes it as "partial 16S ribosomal RNA". It matches the Rfam family "Bacterial small subunit ribosomal RNA", at positions 29 to 507 of the family's 1533-position model. The record is from RNAcentral.
AGUGAACGCUGGCGGUAGGCCUAGCACAUGCAAGUCGAACGGCAGCACAGUAAGAGCUUGCUCUUACGGGUGGCGAGUGGCGGACGGGUGAGGAAUACAUCGGAAUCUACUUUUUCGUGGGGGAUAACGUAGGGAAACUUACGCUAAUACCGCAUACGACCUACGGGUGAAAGCAGGGGAUCUUCGGACCUUGCGCGAUUGAAUGAGCCGAUGUCGGAUUAGCUAGUUGGCGGGGUAAAGGCCCACCAAGGCGACGAUCCGUAGCUGGUCUGAGAGGAUGAUCAGCCACACUGGAACUGAGACACGGUCCAGACUCCUACGGGAGGCAGCAGUGGGGAAUAUUGGACAAUGGGCGCAAGCUUGAUCCAGCCAUACCGCGUGGGUGAAGAAGGCCUUCGGGUUGUAAAGCCCUUUUGUUGGGAAAGAAAAGCAGCAGGUUAAUACCCCGCUGUUCUGACGGUACCCAAAGAAUAAGCACCGGCUAACUUCGUG